GUGCAAGCCGUACGCGUUCGCGCGUCUAGGUGAAACCGCGAAAGGCUCAUUAAAUCAGUUAUGGUUCCUUGGAUCGUACCAUCCCUUUACUUGGAUAACUGUGGUAAUUCUAGAGCUAAUACAUGCCGACAGAGUUCCGACCGCCUCGCGCGGGAGGAACGCUUUUAUUAGAUCAAAACCCAUCGGCACGACCAAGUGGUGACUCUGAAUAACUUUGUGCUGAUCGCACGGUCUCAGCGCUGGCGAUGCAUCUUUCAAAUGUCUGCCUUAUCAACUGUCGAUGGUAGGUUAUGCGCCUACCAUGGUGGUAACGGGUGACGGGGGAUCAGGGUUCGAUCCCGGAGAGGGAGCCUGAGAAACGGCUACCACAUCCAAGGAAGGCAGCAGGCACGCAAAUUACCCACUCCCAGCUCAGGGGAGGUAGUGACGAAAUAUAACGAUACGGGACUCAUCCGAGGCCUCGUAAUCGGAAUGAGUACACUUUAAAACGUUUAACGAGG
RNAcentral lists this ribosomal RNA (500 nucleotides) under Trioza tricornuta. RNAcentral describes it as "SSU rRNA". It matches the Rfam family "Eukaryotic small subunit ribosomal RNA", at positions 63 to 542 of the family's 1831-position model. Lineage: Eukaryota; Metazoa; Arthropoda; Insecta; Hemiptera; Triozidae. The record is from RNAcentral.